RNAcentral lists this ribosomal RNA (2927 nucleotides) under Escherichia coli. RNAcentral's name for it is "bacterial LSU rRNA". It matches the Rfam family "Bacterial large subunit ribosomal RNA". Lineage: Bacteria; Pseudomonadati; Pseudomonadota; Gammaproteobacteria; Enterobacterales; Enterobacteriaceae. The record is from RNAcentral.
GGGUUGUGAGGUUAAGCGACUAAGCGUACACGGUGGAUGCCCUGGCAGUCAGAGGCGAUGAAGGACGUGCUAAUCUGCGAUAAGCGUCGGUAAGGUGAUAUGAACCGUUAUAACCGGCGAUUUCCGAAUGGGGAAACCCAGUGUGUUUCGACACACUAUCAUUAACUGAAUCCAUAGGUUAAUGAGGCGAACCGGGGGAACUGAAACAUCUAAGUACCCGAGGAAAAGAAAUCAACCGAGAUUCCCCCAGUAGCGGCGAGCGAACGGGGAGCAGCCCAGAGCCUGAAUCAGUAUGUGUGUUAGUGGAAGCGUCUGGAAAGGCGCGCGAUACAGGGUGACAGCCCCGUACACAAAAAUGCACAUGCUGUGAGCUCGAUGAGUAGGGCGGGACACGUGGUAUCCUGUCUGAAUAUGGGGGACCAUCCUCCAAGGCUAAAUACUCCUGACUGACCGAUAGUGAACCAGUACCGUGAGGGAAAGGCGAAAAGAACCCCGGCGAGGGGAGUGAAAAAGAACCUGAAACCGUGUACGUACAAGCAGUGGGAGCACGCUUAGGCGUGUGACUGCGUACCUUUUGUAUAAUGGGUCAGCGACUUAUAUUCUGUAGCAAGGUUAACCGAAUAGGGGAGCCGAAGGGAAACCGAGUCUUAACUGGGCGUUAAGUUGCAGGGUAUAGACCCGAAACCCGGUGAUCUAGCCAUGGGCAGGUUGAAGGUUGGGUAACACUAACUGGAGGACCGAACCGACUAAUGUUGAAAAAUUAGCGGAUGACUUGUGGCUGGGGGUGAAAGGCCAAUCAAACCGGGAGAUAGCUGGUUCUCCCCGAAAGCUAUUUAGGUAGCGCCUCGUGAAUUCAUCUCCGGGGGUAGAGCACUGUUUCGGCAAGGGGGUCAUCCCGACUUACCAACCCGAUGCAAACUGCGAAUACCGGAGAAUGUUAUCACGGGAGACACACGGCGGGUGCUAACGUCCGUCGUGAAGAGGGAAACAACCCAGACCGCCAGCUAAGGUCCCAAAGUCAUGGUUAAGUGGGAAACGAUGUGGGAAGGCCCAGACAGCCAGGAUGUUGGCUUAGAAGCAGCCAUCAUUUAAAGAAAGCGUAAUAGCUCACUGGUCGAGUCGGCCUGCGCGGAAGAUGUAACGGGGCUAAACCAUGCACCGAAGCUGCGGCAGCGACGCUUAUGCGUUGUUGGGUAGGGGAGCGUUCUGUAAGCCUGUGAAGGUGUACUGUGAGGUAUGCUGGAGGUAUCAGAAGUGCGAAUGCUGACAUAAGUAACGAUAAAGCGGGUGAAAAGCCCGCUCGCCGGAAGACCAAGGGUUCCUGUCCAACGUUAAUCGGGGCAGGGUGAGUCGACCCCUAAGGCGAGGCCGAAAGGCGUAGUCGAUGGGAAACAGGUUAAUAUUCCUGUACUUGGUGUUACUGCGAAGGGGGACGGAGAAGGCUAUGUUGGCCGGGCGACGGUUGUCCCGGUUUAAGCGUGUAGGCUGGUUUUCCAGGCAAAUCCGGAAAAUCAAGGCUGAGGCGUGAUGACGAGGCACUACGGUGCUGAAGCAACAAAUGCCCUGCUUCCAGGAAAAGCCUCUAAGCAUCAGGUAACAUCAAAUCGUACCCCAAACCGACACAGGUGGUCAGGUAGAGAAUACCAAGGCGCUUGAGAGAACUCGGGUGAAGGAACUAGGCAAAAUGGUGCCGUAACUUCGGGAGAAGGCACGCUGAUAUGUAGGUGAAGCGACUUGCUCGUGGAGCUGAAAUCAGUCGAAGAUACCAGCUGGCUGCAACUGUUUAUUAAAAACACAGCACUGUGCAAACACGAAAGUGGACGUAUACGGUGUGACGCCUGCCCGGUGCCGGAAGGUUAAUUGAUGGGGUCAGCGCAAGCGAAGCUCUUGAUCGAAGCCCCGGUAAACGGCGGCCGUAACUAUAACGGUCCUAAGGUAGCGAAAUUCCUUGUCGGGUAAGUUCCGACCUGCACGAAUGGCGUAAUGAUGGCCAGGCUGUCUCCACCCGAGACUCAGUGAAAUUGAACUCGCUGUGAAGAUGCAGUGUACCCGCGGCAAGACGGAAAGACCCCGUGAACCUUUACUAUAGCUUGACACUGAACAUUGAGCCUUGAUGUGUAGGAUAGGUGGGAGGCUUUGAAGUGUGGACGCCAGUCUGCAUGGAGCCGACCUUGAAAUACCACCCUUUAAUGUUUGAUGUUCUAACGUGGACCCGUAAUCCGGGUUGCGGACAGUGUCUGGUGGGUAGUUUGACUGGGGCGGUCUCCUCCUAAAGAGUAACGGAGGAGCACGAAGGUUGGCUAAUCCUGGUCGGACAUCAGGAGGUUAGUGCAAUGGCAUAAGCCAGCUUGACUGCGAGCGUGACGGCGCGAGCAGGUGCGAAAGCAGGUCAUAGUGAUCCGGUGGUUCUGAAUGGAAGGGCCAUCGCUCAACGGAUAAAAGGUACUCCGGGGAUAACAGGCUGAUACCGCCCAAGAGUUCAUAUCGACGGCGGUGUUUGGCACCUCGAUGUCGGCUCAUCACAUCCUGGGGCUGAAGUAGGUCCCAAGGGUAUGGCUGUUCGCCAUUUAAAGUGGUACGCGAGCUGGGUUUAGAACGUCGUGAGACAGUUCGGUCCCUAUCUGCCGUGGGCGCUGGAGAACUGAGGGGGGCUGCUCCUAGUACGAGAGGACCGGAGUGGACGCAUCACUGGUGUUCGGGUUGUCAUGCCAAUGGCACUGCCCGGUAGCUAAAUGCGGAAGAGAUAAGUGCUGAAAGCAUCUAAGCACGAAACUUGCCCCGAGAUGAGUUCUCCCUGACUCCUUGAGAGUCCUGAAGGAACGUUGAAGACGACGACGUUGAUAGGCCGGGUGUGUAAGCGCAGCGAUGCGUUGAGCUAACCGGUACUAAUGAACCGUGAGGCUUAACCUUACAACGCCGAAGCUGUU